RNAcentral lists this ribosomal RNA (465 nucleotides) under Vreelandella stevensii. RNAcentral describes it as "partial 16S ribosomal RNA". It matches the Rfam family "Bacterial small subunit ribosomal RNA", at positions 338 to 795 of the family's 1533-position model. The record is from RNAcentral. Lineage: Bacteria; Pseudomonadati; Pseudomonadota; Gammaproteobacteria; Oceanospirillales; Halomonadaceae.
CCUACGGGGCGCAGCAGUGGGGAAUAUUGGACAAUGGGCGAAAGCCUGAUCCAGCCAUGCCGCGUGUGUGAAGAAGGCCUUCGGGUUGUAAAGCACUUUCAGUGGGGAAGAAAGCCUUGGGGCUAAUACCCUCGAGGAAGGACAUCACCCACAGAAGAAGCACCGGCUAACUCCGUGCCAGCAGCCGCGGUAAUACGGAGGGUGCGAGCGGUAAUCGGAAUUACUGGGCGUAAAGCGCGCGUAGGCGGUCUGAUAAGCCGGUUGUGAAAGCCCCGGGCUCAACCUGGGAACGACAUCCGGAACUGUCAGGCUAGAGUGCAGGAGAGGAAGGUAGAAUUCCCGGUGUAGCGGUGAAAUGCGUAGAGAUCGGGAGGAAUACCAGUGGCGAAGGCGGCCUUCUGGACUGACACUGACGCUGAGGUGCGAAAGCGUGGGUAGCAAACAGGAUUAGAUACCCCUGUAGUC